CCUACGGGAGGCAGCAGUGGGGAAUAUUGCACAAUGGGGGAAACCCUGAUGCAGCGACGCCGCGUGAGUGAAGAAGUAAUUCGUUAUGUUAAGCUCUAUCAGCAGGGAAGAAAAUGACGGUACCUGAGUAAGAAGCACCGGCUAACUACGUGCCAGCAGCCGCGGCAAUACGUAGGGGGCCAGCGUUAUCCGGAUUUACUGGGUGUAAAGGGUGCGUAGACGGCAGUGCAAGUCUGGAGUGAAAGGCGGGGGCUAAACCCCCGGACUGCUCUUGAAACUGUACGGCUGGAGUGCAGGAGAGGUAAGUGGAAUGCGUAGUGUAGCGGUGAAAUGCGUAGAUAUUAGGAGGAACACCAGUUGCGAAGGCGGCUUACUGGACUGUAACUGACGUUGAGGCACGAAAGCGUGGGGAGCAAACAGGAUUAGAUACCCCUGUAGUC
This 440-nucleotide ribosomal RNA is filed under the name uncultured bacterium. Its description in RNAcentral is "partial 16S ribosomal RNA". It matches the Rfam family "Bacterial small subunit ribosomal RNA", at positions 338 to 795 of the family's 1533-position model. The record is from RNAcentral.